ACUCGCAUUUCAUACCUGGUGAUCUCAGAGGACAAAAGCAGCGUUACAGCGGCGCACAUCGAUGAGAGCUGAUGCUCUCAACACUUCAGACCUCCGCCUGUCUCUGAGAAAACCAACAAUGGCUGUCAGCAGCAACUACACCUGCUCCACCAGUGCUGGGAGAGAAGAGCUGAGACUGACAGCUCUUUGUACAGGCCUUCACCUCCUCAUUCAUCCACAGUCUGCCUCCCUCUGCUCCAUCAGCUGACGUCCUCUGUACAACUACCUGCUGUGUGCACAUCUUUGAUUUCUUCUUCUUUUUAUCCUGCAAAGCUGAAAAAUCACUAUAAUACAAACACAUUUCACA
Long non-coding RNA from Oreochromis niloticus (Nile tilapia), 346 nucleotides. RefSeq lists it as uncharacterized. The record is from RefSeq and is a predicted model, not a curated record. The transcript has 2 exons. Lineage: Eukaryota; Metazoa; Chordata; Actinopteri; Cichliformes; Cichlidae.